RNAcentral lists this ribosomal RNA (468 nucleotides) under uncultured bacterium. RNAcentral's name for it is "partial 16S ribosomal RNA". It matches the Rfam family "Bacterial small subunit ribosomal RNA", at positions 28 to 507 of the family's 1533-position model. The record is from RNAcentral.
GACGAACGCUGGCGGCGUGCUUAACACAUGCAAGUCGAACGGAAAGGCCCUGCUUUUGUGGGGUGCUCGAGUGGCGAACGGGUGAGUAACACGUGAGUAACCUGCCCUUGACUUUGGGAUAACUUCAGGAAACUGGGGCUAAUACCGGAUAGGAGCUCCUGCUGCAUGGUGGGGGUUGGAAAGUUCCGGCGGUUGGGGAUGGACUCGCGGCUUAUCAGCUUGUUGGGGGGGUAGUGGCUUACCAAGGCUUUGACGGGUAGCCGGCCUGAGAGGGUGACCGGCCACAUUGGGACUGAGAUACGGCCCAGACUCCUACGGGAGGCAGCAGUGGGGAAUAUUGCACAAUGGGCGGAAGCCUGAUGCAGCAACGCCGCGUGCGGGAUGACGGCCUUCGGGUUGUAAACCGCUUUCGCCUGUGACGAAGCGUGAGUGACGGUAAUGGGUAAAGAAGCACCGGCUAACUACGUG